UACGUAGGGGGCAAGCGUUAUCCGGAUUCACUGGGUGUAAAGGGAGCGUAGACGGCGACGCAGGUCUGGAGUGAAAGCCCGGGGCCCAACCCCGGGACUGCUCUGGAAACUGCGUCGCUGGAGUACGGGAGGGGCAGGCGGAAUUCCUGGUGUAGCGGUGAAAUGCGUAGAUAUCAGGAGGAACACCGGCGGCGAAGGCGGCCUGCUGGACCGUGACUGACGUUGAGGCUCGAGAGCGUGGGGAGCAAACAGG
RNAcentral lists this ribosomal RNA (253 nucleotides) under uncultured bacterium. RNAcentral's name for it is "partial 16S ribosomal RNA". It matches the Rfam family "Bacterial small subunit ribosomal RNA", at positions 524 to 776 of the family's 1533-position model. The record is from RNAcentral.